Molecule: long non-coding RNA, 280 nt
Organism: Passer domesticus (house sparrow)
Lineage: Eukaryota; Metazoa; Chordata; Aves; Passeriformes; Passeridae
Exons: 3
Source: RefSeq, a predicted model, not a curated record
UGAGCUCCAUGAUGGUCUUUCAAGAGAUGCUGGAGUUAUUAACGGAAGAUGGAAAACAUGCCCUGAAGUCACCCGUGCACCACAGCCUGCUGCCACUCUACUUCCACUGCCAUGAUGAGAAUCAGAUUGUUGCUGAGUGUUCUCGGGAAACGCUGCUUUGUGCAGCCAAGUUCCUGAAGAGGAGGGAUAUAAAAAAGCUGGUGAAGGAGGAAAAACUGUGGAAGUUCAGCAAGUGCCUGCUGGCAGAGGACACGAGCCGAGCGGCCGAGCAGCUGCGCCG